AUUGAACGCUGGCGGAAUGCUUUACACAUGCAAGUCGAACGGCAGCACGGACUUCGGUCUGUUGGCGAGUGGCGAACGGGUGAGUAAUGUAUCGGAACGUGCCCAGUCGUGGGGGAUAACGUAGUGAAAAUUACGCUAAUACCGCAUACGAUCUAUGGAUGAAAGCGGGGGAUCGCAAGACCUCGCGCGAUUGGAGCGGCCGAUAUCAGAUUAGGUAGUUGGUGGGGUAAAGGCCCACCAAGCCAACGAUGUGUAGCUGGUCUGAGAGGACGACCAGCCACACUGGAACUGAGACACGGGCCAGAUUCCGACGGGAGGCAGCAGUGGGGAAUUUUGGAGAGUGGGCGAAAGCGUGAUCCAGCCAUUCCGCGUGCAGGAUGAAGGCCCUCGGGUUGUAAACUGCUUUGGUACAGAACGAAAAGGUUUCUACUAAUACUGGGAGCUCAUGACGGUACUGUAAGAAUAAGCACCGGCUAACUACGUGCCAGCCGCCGCCGUAA
This 500-nucleotide ribosomal RNA is filed under the name uncultured bacterium. RNAcentral's name for it is "partial 16S ribosomal RNA". It matches the Rfam family "Bacterial small subunit ribosomal RNA", at positions 30 to 523 of the family's 1533-position model. The record is from RNAcentral.